This 315-nucleotide ribosomal RNA is filed under the name Triticum aestivum (bread wheat). RNAcentral's name for it is "partial small subunit ribosomal RNA". Lineage: Eukaryota; Viridiplantae; Streptophyta; Magnoliopsida; Poales; Poaceae. The record is from RNAcentral.
AUGGCGGCGCUAGAGCAAGCAUUCCAUGGGAGAGCGCUGUAUGCCAGCAUCAUUGGACAGUCGCGGAGCCUUGUGACGACGGAGGCACUCACCGCGGCGAUGGCGUCUCAUUGUGGCAUCAGGUCGGCAGCCAUGAAGGUGGAGGUGACCAGCCCACCAUUCCACUUUUUCGUGUGGUUUGACUCGCUGGAGGAUUGCACUUGGUGGUGCUCGCGUCGGAGCAGGUGCGUUGCGGCGGCAGCAGAAUUAGUUUUCAACAUUGGUCAAGUUUGUCGCAUGGUAGGCCGUCGAAGCUGGAGUACAAGACGACGCUGA